AUGAACGCUAGCGGGAGGCCUAACACAUGCAAGCCGGGCGGGAUCCCUUCGGGGUGAGAGCGGCGUACGGGUGAGGAGCACGUGUGCAACCUGCCCCUGUCUGGGGGAUAGCCCUCCGAAAGGAGGAUUAACACCCCAUAGGAUGUUCGCCGGCAUCGGCGGUCAUUGAAAGGUUACGGACGGGGAUGGGCACGCGCAGGAUUAGGUAGUUGGCAGGGUAACGGCCUACCAAGCCUUUGAUCCUUAGGGGGCCUGAGAGGGUGAUCCCCCACACUGGUACUGAGACACGGACCAGACUCCUACGGGAGGCAGCAGUGAGGAAUAUUGGACAAUGGGUGGRAGCCUGAUCCAGCCAUCCCGCGUGAAGGACUAAGGGCCUAUGGCCUGUAAACUUCUUUUGUACGGGGAUAAACCUAUCUACGCGUAGAUAGCUGAAGGUACCGUACGAAUAAGCACCGGCUAACUCC
This 467-nucleotide ribosomal RNA is filed under the name Flavobacteriales bacterium 'ARUP UnID 207'. RNAcentral describes it as "bacterial SSU rRNA". It matches the Rfam family "Bacterial small subunit ribosomal RNA", at positions 29 to 504 of the family's 1533-position model. Lineage: Bacteria; Pseudomonadati; Bacteroidota; Flavobacteriia; Flavobacteriales. The record is from RNAcentral.